CCUACGGGAGGCAGCAGUGAGGAAUAUUGGUCAAUGGACGAGAGUCUGAACCAGCCAAGUAGCGUGAAGGAUGACUGCCCUAUGGGUUGUAAACUUCUUUUAUAUGGGAAUAAAAUGUUCCACGUGUGGGAUUUUGUAUGUACCAUAUGAAUAAGGAUCGGCUAACUCCGUGCCAGCAGCCGCGGUAAUACGGAGGAUCCGAGCGUUAUCCGGAUUUAUUGGGGUUAAAGGGAGCGUAGGUGGAUUGUUAAGUCAGUUGUGAAAGUUUGCGGCUCAACCGUAAAAUUGCAGUUGAAACUGGCAGUCUUGAGUACAGUAGAGGUGGGCGGAAUGCGUGGUGUAGCGGUGAAAUGCUUAGAUAUCACGAAGAACUCCGAUUGCGAAGGCAGCUUACUGGACUGCAACUGACACUGAGGCUCGAAAGUGUGGGUAUCAAACAGGAUUAGAUACCCUAGUAGUC
Molecule: ribosomal RNA, 460 nt
Filed under: uncultured bacterium
Lineage: Bacteria
Description: partial 16S ribosomal RNA
Rfam family: Bacterial small subunit ribosomal RNA
Source: RNAcentral